This 228-nucleotide ribosomal RNA is filed under the name uncultured bacterium. RNAcentral's name for it is "partial 16S ribosomal RNA". It matches the Rfam family "Bacterial small subunit ribosomal RNA", at positions 28 to 253 of the family's 1533-position model. The record is from RNAcentral.
GAUUAACGCUAGCGGCAGGCCUAAUACAUGCAAGUUGUACGGGAUUAUUGGUAGCAAUACCGGUAUGAGAGUAGCGCACGGGUGCGUAACACGUAUGCAACCUACCUUUAACUGGGGAAUAGCUCACCGAAAGGUGAAUUAACACCGCAUAAAAUCACAGAAGGACAUCCCUCAAUGAUUAAAUCUCCGGAGGUUAAAGAUGGGCAUGCGUCCGAUUAGCUAGUUGGC